AUUUGAUUUUCUUCGGAAAUGAAGAUUUUGUGACUGAGUGGCGGACGGGUGAGUAACGCGUGGGUAACCUGCCUCAUACAGGGGGAUAACAGUUGGAAACGACUGCUAAUACCGCAUAAGCGCACAGGAUUGCAUGAUCCGGUGUGAAAAACUCCGGUGGUAUGGGAUGGACCCGCGUCUGAUUAGCCAGUUGGCAGGGUAACAGCCUACCAAAGCGACGAUCAGUAGCCGACCUGAGAGGGUGACCGGCCACAUUGGGACUGAGACACGGCCCAAACUCCUACGGGAGGCAGCAGUGGGGAAUAUUGCACAAUGGGGGAAACCCUGAUGCAGCGACGCCGCGUGAGCGAAGAAGUAUUUCGGUAUGUAAAGCUCUAUCAGCAGGGAAGAAGAAUGACGGUACCUGACUAAGAAGCACCGGCUAAAUACGUGCCAGCAGCCGCGGUAAUACGUAUGGUGCAAGCGUUAUCCGGAUUUACUGGGUGUAAAGGGAGCGCAGGCGGUGCGGCAAGUCUGAUGUGAAAGCCCGGGGCUCAACCCCGGUACUGCAUUGGAAACUGUCGUACUAGAGUGUCGGAGGGGUAAGUGGAAUUCCUAGUGUAGCGGUGAAAUGCGUAGAUAUUAGGAGGAACACCAGUGGCGAAGGCGGCUUACUGGACGAUAACUGACGCUGA
Molecule: ribosomal RNA, 674 nt
Filed under: uncultured Lachnospiraceae bacterium
Lineage: Bacteria; Bacillati; Bacillota; Clostridia; Lachnospirales; Lachnospiraceae
Description: bacterial SSU rRNA
Rfam family: Bacterial small subunit ribosomal RNA
Source: RNAcentral